AGCAUAUCAAUAAGCGGAGGAAAAGAAACCAACCGGGAUUGCCUUAGUAACGGCGAAGUGAAGCGGCAAAAGCUCAAAUUUGAAAUCUAGUACCUUCGGUGCUCGAGUUGUAAUUUGUAGAGGGAUACUUUGGGGCCGUUCCUUGUCUAUGUUCCUUGGAACAGGACGUCAUAGAGGGUGAGAAUCCCGUGUGGCGAGGAGUGCGGUUCUAUGUAAAGUGCCUUCGAAGAGUCGAGUUGUUUGGGAAUGCAGCUCUAAGUGGGUGGUAAAUUCCAUCUAAAGCUAAAUAUUGGCGAGAGACCGAUAGCGAACAAGUACAGUGAUGGAAAGAUGAAAAGAACUUUGAAAAGAGAGUGAAAAAGUACGUGAAAUUGUUGAAAGGGAAGGGCAUUUGAUCAGACAUGGUGUUUUGCGCCCUCUGCUCCUUGUGGGUGGGGGACUCUCGCAGCUCACUGGGCCAACAUCAGUUUUGGUGGUCGGACAAAUCCGUAGGAAUGUAGCUUGCCUCGGCAAGUGUUAUAGCCUGCGGGAAUACGGCCAGCCGGGACUGAGGACUGCGACUUUUGUCAAGGAUGUUGGCAUAAUGGUUAUAUGCCGCCCGUCUUGAAACACGGACCAAGGAGUCUAACGUCUAUGCGAGUGUUUGGGUGUAAAACCCGUACGCGUAAUGAAAGUGAACGUAGGUUGGGGCCCUCUCGGGGGUGCACAAUCGACCGAUCCUGAUGUUUUCAGAUGGAUUUGAGUAAGAGCAUAGCUGUUGGGACCCGAAAGAUGGUGAACUAUGCCUGAAUAGGGUGAAGCCAGAGGAAACUCUGGUGGAGGCUCGUAGCGGUUCUGACGUGCAAAUCGAUCGUCGAAUUUGGGUAUAGGGGCGAAAGACUAAUCGAACCAUCUAGUAGCUGGUUCUGC
RNAcentral lists this ribosomal RNA (909 nucleotides) under Monosporozyma solicola. Its description in RNAcentral is "LSU rRNA". It matches the Rfam family "Eukaryotic large subunit ribosomal RNA", at positions 37 to 960 of the family's 3401-position model. Lineage: Eukaryota; Fungi; Ascomycota; Saccharomycetes; Saccharomycetales; Saccharomycetaceae. The record is from RNAcentral.